This 547-nucleotide ribosomal RNA is filed under the name uncultured marine picoplankton. RNAcentral's name for it is "bacterial SSU rRNA". It matches the Rfam family "Eukaryotic small subunit ribosomal RNA", at positions 597 to 1147 of the family's 1831-position model. The record is from RNAcentral.
GCGUAUAUUAAAGUUGUUGCAGUUAAAAAGCUCGUAGUUGGAUUUCUGGUGAGUUCGUUUGGCCGGCCGUAAAGGUCUGUGCCGAAAUGUUAUUCGCCAUCCUUGGUGUAAUCUUGUCCGCCAUUAAGUUGUGUGGGCUUGAGGAUGCCAUCGUUUACUGUGAAAAAAUUAGAGUGUUCAAAGCAGGCUUAUGCCGUUGAAUACAUUAGCAUGGAAUAAUAAGAUAGGAUCCUGGUACUAUUUUGUUGGUUUGCGUACCUAGGUAAUGAUUAAUAGGGACAGUUGGGGGUAUUUGUAUUCCGUUGUCAGAGGUGAAAUUCUUGGAUUGUGUUGCGACGAACUACUGCGAAAGCAUUUGCCAAGGAUGUUUUCAUUGAUCAAGAACGAAAGUAAGGGGAUCGAAGACGAUUAGAUACCAUCGUAGUCUUUACCAUAAACUAUGCCGACUAGAGAUGGGGCAUCGUUCAUUUACGACUUGCUCCGCACCUUAUGAGAUAUCAAAGUUUUUGGGUUCCGGGGGGAGUAUGGUCGCAAGACUGAAACUUAA